Molecule: transfer RNA, 96 nt
Filed under: Sorangium sp. So ce836
Lineage: Bacteria; Pseudomonadati; Myxococcota; Polyangiales; Polyangiaceae
Description: Sorangium sp. Soce836 tRNA-Arg
Source: RNAcentral
UCCCCGCGGGCUCGGCCAGAGCAGGCCGUGGGAGUUCUUCUUCCGGGGGUCAGCCAGGCGGGCCACCUGCCGCUGGGUCGCCUCCAGCGCGAGGCC